AUGCUUCAGACAAACAGGGGCAGCAAGAUGGAGUCACACACAGAGGUCUUCAUACUCCUGCUCCUCUGGAUGUCUGGUGCUGAGGGGAACAUUGUGAUGACCCAGUCUCCCAAAGUCAUGUCAACAUCUGUCGGAGACAGGAUCACUCUAGGGUGCAAGUCCAGUCAGAAUGUGUAUAAUAAUGUAGCUUGGUACCAACAGAAAUCAGGGCAGCCUCCUAAACUACUAAUCUACUAUGCAUCCAAUCGCCCCUCUGGGGUCCCUGAUCGCUUCACAGGCAGUGGAUCUGGCACAGAUUACACUCUCACCAUCAGCAGUGUGCAGGCUGAAGACCUGGCAGUUUACUACUGUCAGAAUGGUUAUAGUACUCCUCCCACAGUGCUUCAGCCUCCAACAAAAACCUGUUUGAGAGUCUCAUCAGCUGCUUGCAAAACAAACAGCCCUGGGCCUGCACACUUCCCCCUUCUGUCUGAGAUCUGUUAUGCAUGA
Molecule: non-coding RNA, 489 nt
Organism: Psammomys obesus (fat sand rat)
Lineage: Eukaryota; Metazoa; Chordata; Mammalia; Rodentia; Muridae
Source: the annotation of a RefSeq genome assembly